UCUCUUGGUGGAUGGGUACUUUUCGUCUGUUGAGUUCAUGAAUCAGGACUAGCAGCUAGCUAGGACUGCAUCCUUGAUGAGCUGGAGUGAUAGCUGUAGGUCAUCAAGCAGCUGGUGAGGGUCAGGAAUGACGCUUUCAUCGACUGAUAGAACCAUAGUCAUCUUGUUCACAUAGCUUUGGAAAUUAAUCAUCAGUGCCUAUCAACAAGGCAAAGCAAAUCAUCAGACGAUACUUGUUUGCCAAGCCAAAGAUAACCCAUUAUUAUCUUUAUCCUAAGUUUAUUGUUAUGAAGUACUCACAUGGGGUUGGCCAUAAGAACCUGAAGCAAGAUAUGCAAUUGGAUGGCCAUAGAACCCGAUUUCUUCUUGUGGUCCAACUAUGUUGGAGACGCACAUUGUUGUCUGCGUGAUAAUUCUGUGAGAUAGGUCACUGGAUGCCUGCAGAUUGGUUCAAAGAAUAUGCAUACUUGGUCAAUUUUUAGGUUCAUCAGCAAUGGAUACUAGUAUAUCUUAAUUGCUCCUCCAUAUUAGAAAACACAUUGAGCUAGCUUUUGUAGUUGGUACAACCUUAACUCCGAAAAAUUUGAGCACCAAAUCAGCAAUGGAGAAUGUGUAAACGGCCUCAAGGGAAUUCUUCUUCCUAUCAAUGGUUGCCUUUGCUUCUCUAACAUAAUCCAGAGGAUCGUCUCGUAAUGCAAUUUUAUAGGGAAGAAGCACGAAACCAAUCCAGUUUCCCCACUUGGCUUCAGCGUCUUUCUCCAUCAUAUCUGCUAAAACCUGCAACAAUUGUUAUCAGAUUAGACAUAUAACCUGAUCAUUAAUUUUCUUUCUUUUUUUUUUCUAGAAAAGUUCACAUACUGAGAUGCAGACACUAAAUGAGAAUUAAGAUCUUUAUUUUGGGUUCACUAUCAUUAUUCCCAAUUAAGAUCACAGAUCAGUCACCUGAAUUCCUGCAGAUGGCCUCAGGUUAAUCAGGAUGGUUGACCUCAGUCGAAUAUUCUUCGGCAGGUUGUUUCUCUUCUGAGUCUCCCCCUCAUCUUUCUUACCUUCAGCUGGAAAGUGGAAUCUUUAUUACUAAUGAGCACUAAUGCCAUCUAAAUAGUCAUAUUCAUCUCUAAAGUUGUAUGGACUUACAGAUGGGUUCACUCAAAAUAUAAUGCUCAGAAAGCACAAAUUAAUGCUUACUGAGACACUAAAAUAUUUUUAUCAGCGUCUGACUUUUUUAUGGAAACAAUAAGGUGUCGUAAUCAAUGAUUAAUUAUUCAAAGAUCUGUGAAGACUUACCAUAUCUCCGAUUGAGAUACCGAGACAAACCAGCUUGCGUAAUUCCAAGUGCAACAUCGUUUAUGGUCUAUCAGAUAGAGUAAAAUCAUUUAACUAGUAGCGACUCAAAAUUUGUGACAUCCAAAUCAUUGAAAGAAAUAUUUCCAAGAAAACGUCAAAAUGAAAAACAUAGAAAAAUAAAGAAAAGAAAAUUCAAAAUAAUUAAACUACUUGCCAUGUUCAUUGCAUUUUUCACCACCUUCAUGUCGUCAAGGCUAACAAUCCUGUAAACAACUCGCCUGGGGUUUAACUCGGAACAUGGGGGAGCCUUGAUUGGAGUUUUGGUAUCUUUCAAAAACAACGCUGUAGCUCC
Molecule: long non-coding RNA, 1636 nt
Filed under: Coffea arabica (coffee)
Lineage: Eukaryota; Viridiplantae; Streptophyta; Magnoliopsida; Gentianales; Rubiaceae
Description: long non-coding RNA (CARA_LNC002046)
Source: RNAcentral